Molecule: ribosomal RNA, 530 nt
Filed under: uncultured bacterium
Lineage: Bacteria
Description: bacterial SSU rRNA
Rfam family: Bacterial small subunit ribosomal RNA
Source: RNAcentral
CCUUGACAUACUAAGAACUUCCAGAGAUGGAUUGGUGCCUUCGGGAACUUAGAUACAGGUGCUGCAUGGCUGUCGUCAGCUCGUGUCGUGAGAUGUUGGGUUAAGUCCCGCAACGAGCGCAACCCUUUUCCUUAUUUGCCAGCGGGUCAUGCCGGGAACUUUAAGGAUACUGCCAGUGACAAACUGGAGGAAGGCGGGGACGACGUCAAGUCAUCAUGGCCCUUACGGCCAGGGCUACACACGUGCUACAAUGGUCGGUACAAAGGGUUGCUACCUCGCGAGAGGAUGCUAAUCUCAAAAAGCCGAUCGUAGUCCGGAUCGCAGUCUGCAACUCGACUGCGUGAAGUCGGAAUCGCUAGUAAUCGCGGAUCAGAAUGCCGCGGUGAAUACGUUCCCGGGCCUUGUACACACCGCCCGUCACACCAUGGGAGUUUGUUGCACCAGAAGUAGGUAGUCUAACCGCAAGGAGGACGCUUACCACGGUGUGGCCGAUGACUGGGGUGAAGUCGUAACAAGGUAAGCGUAGAUGA